This 1145-nucleotide long non-coding RNA is filed under the name Homo sapiens (human). Its description in RNAcentral is "HSALNT0351941". Lineage: Eukaryota; Metazoa; Chordata; Mammalia; Primates; Hominidae. The record is from RNAcentral.
AGCAACCUGCCCUUCAAGUGGACCACAGCUUGAAAUAGGCACCAGAACAAGACAGCAGACCUUGUGCAAUGCACUCUCCCACGGGCCUCCCAUUCCAAUUUCCCCUUUUUAAGCCUUUCUCCCCAGCCUAAAGUUUUAAGAGGUUUCUGGAGGCGUAAGGUAAGCAGCCUGCUUCCCUGCUGCUAGCUUUGGAAACAAAGUAACUUUCCUUUCACUACAGACUUCCUCCUUGUUACUGACUUUGCAAGCGGAUUCUAUUUAUGUUUAAUGAACAAAAAAAUUAGUUUCAAUGAAAACUUUAUUUGAAAUGAUGAAUUCAAGCUGUUACCAGCCUCCCAAGUAAGAUGCCAGAGACUUCAAACACUGCUGUUGUUUCUCAAGGAAAAGAUCCAGUUAACAAGGAAUCAUUCUCUCUUCUUCAAUAGCUGCUUACGAAAUAAAAACAUCAGUAGGAGGGGAAGGAGGAAGGAAGGAGAAGAAAGAGGAAGAAUAGGAGGAGAAGAGGAAGAGAGGAAGAAGUCGUGAACAGCCCUCCUGCAUUUUGCAUCAGGUAGAAAAGUCAGUUGAAUGUUGGGAAGAACACAAAUACUCACACAUUCCUCCCCAUUCUCUGAAUUCCCACAAAGACUGUUAUUGCUGGGGCUCAUAAAAUUAUACCCCAAAGUAUGAUGCUUUGGCAUCCAGAGUGCUUUGAACUAUAGGAGAUUGAAGGCCCCAGAAGCCAAGUUUCCCUCUGACCUUCUCCUGCCUUCCUGUCUUCCACCCCCUGCUUUUCCCCUGAAGUGAGUCCUGGAAGCCAGAAUUCUUCUUGCCCAAAGCAAGCCGUGACACCCUGGAAAUAUCACUCUAACCUUCCUUGCCUUUCCGUGUGGCAGCUGGCCAUGAAGAAAUUCUCUGACCUACCUUGUUUGAUAGCAGAUCACAAGACCCUGGUUCCAGAGCGGUCCUGCUUUACACCGAGGGAAAGGAAUGUCAUACAGAAAGGCCAAGAAGAAUCUGAAGAGAUGUCCAAUCACCUUUUCACGUGGCUGCCCAUUCUUCAUUGAACCUAAGCAUUAAAAUAGACAGUUUCCCCUGGGUCUUUGGGUCUUCAUUUCUGAAGACUCCAUGUCAUGUAAAACUUUGAUUAAAUAAAUGUAUCAUGC